GACUGAUACAUAGAGAGAUAAGAUAAAGAGAUAAGAUAAGAUAGUUGGGAGGUUGAUGGAUAGGAUAGAUAGGCAAGUAGGUAGACAGACAGACAGUUGGGCAGAUAGAAAGAAAGAAUAGGUAGGUAGGUAGAUGGUAGGAUAUGAUAGCUGGGAGGUUGAUGGAUAGGAUAGGUAGGUAGGUAGACAGAUAGAAACCGUAGUUGGGUAGAUAGAAAGAAUAGGUAGGUAGGUAGUUGAUAGGAUAAGAUAGUUGGGAGGUUGAUGGAUAGGAUAGGAUAGGAUAGGAAGGUAGGUAGACAGAUAGAAACCGUAGUUGGGUAGAUAGAAAGAAUAGCUAGGUAGGUAGUUGAUAGGAUAAGAUAGUUGGGAGGUUGAUGGAUAGGAUAGGAUAGGAUAGGAAGGUAGGUAGACAGAUAGAAACCGUAGUUGGGUAGAUAGAAAGAAUAGGUAGGUAGGUAGUUGAUAGGAUAAGAUAGUUGGGAGGUUGAUGGAUAGGAUAGGAUAGGAUAGGAAGGUAGGUAGACAGAUAGAAACCGUAGUUGGGUAGAUAGAAAGAAUAGGUAGGUAGGUAGUUGAUAGGAUAAGAUAGUUGGGAGGUUGAUGGAUAGGAUAGGUAGGUAGGUAGGCAGAUAGAAACCGUAGUUGGGUAGAUAGAAAGAAUAGGUAGGUAGGUAGUUGAUAGGAUAAGAUAGUUGGGAGGUUGAUGGAUAGGAUAGGAUAGGAUAGGAUAGGAAGGUAGGUAGACAGUUGGGUAGAUAGAAAGAAAUAAUAGGUAGAUUAUAGGAUAAGAUAGUUGGGAGGUUGAUGGAUAGGAUAGGAAGGUAGGUAGGUAGGUAGGUAGACAGUUGGGUAGAUAGAAAUAAAUAAAAGGUAGGUAGAUGAUAGGAUAAGAUAGUUGGGAGGUUGAUGGAUAGGAUAGGAUAGGUAGGUAGACAGUUGGGUAGAUAGAAAGAAAAAAUAGCUAGGUAGGUAGAUGGUAGAAUAUGAUAGUUGGGAGGUCGAUGGAUAGGAUAGGUAGGUAGGUAGGCAGACAGUUGGGUAGAUAGAAAGAAAUAAUAGAUAGAUGAUAGGAUAAGAUAGUUGGGAGGUUGAUGGAUAGGAUAGGAAGGUAGGUAGGAAGGUAGGUAGACAGUUGGGUAGAUAGAAAGAAAUAAAAGGUAGGUAGAUGAUAGGAUAAGAUAGUUGGGAGGUUGAUGGAUAGGAUAGGAUAGGUAGGUAGACAGUUGAGUAGAUAGAAAGAAUAGGUAGGUAGGUAGAUGGUAGGAUAAGAUAGUUGGGAGGUUGAUGGAUAGGAUAGGAUAGGUAGGUAGACAGUUGGGUUGAUAGAAAGAAAGAAUAGGUAGGUAGGUAGAGGAUAGGAUAAGAUAGUUGGGAGGUUGAUGGAUAGGAUAGGUAGGUAGGUAGGCAGUUGAGUAGAUAGAAAGAAUAGGUAGGUAGGUAGAUGGUAGGAUAAGAUAGUUGGGAGGUUGAUGGAUAGGAUAGGUAGGUAGACAGUUGGGUAGAUAGAUAGAAAUAAUAGGUAUUUAGGCAGAUGAUAGGAUAAGAUAGUUGGGAGGUUGAUGGAUAGGACAGAUAGGUAGGUAGGUAGACAGUUGGGUAGAUAGAAAGAAAUAAUAGGUAGGGAGAUAGGAUAAGGAUAGGAUAAGAUAGUUGGGAGGUUGAUGGAUAGGGUAGGUAGGUAGACAGAUAGACAGUUGGGCGCUCAUUCCGCUCCCGGGAUUUGAACCUGGCACCUUUUGGUCCGCAAGUUCAGCAGCUCAGCACUUUAACGCACUGUGUCACCAGGGGCCCCAGAUGGGAGGUAAAUAGAUAGAUAGAUAAAUAAAUAAAUAGAUAAGAUAGUUGUGCCACAGCUAGCUAGCUGGGAUAGGUUGUAGAUAGAUUAGAUGGGAGAUAUAGAUAGAUAGAUAGAUAGAUAGAUAGAUAGAUAGAUAGAUAGAUAGAUAGAUAGAUAGAUAGGAUAGUUGUGCGGUAGAUAGAUAGAUUCGAUAAUUGGGAGGUAGAUACCAUAGAUAGAUAAGAUAGGUAAGUAGAUGAUAGAUUAGAUGGGGGAUAGAUAGAUAAAAUACGUAGUAGAUAGCUAGAUUAGAUGCUAGAUAGAUAAGAUAGUUGUGCAGUAGAUAGCUAGAUUAGAUAAUUGGGAGGUAGAUAUGCUAGAUAGAAAGGAUAGGUAGGUAGGUAGAUUAGAUGGGAGGUAGAUAAUUGGGAAGUAGAUACAAUACAUAGGUAGAUAGGAUAGGUAGGUAGAUGAUAGAUAGGUGAGAUGGGAGGUAAAUAGAUAAAUAACUGAGCAAUAGACAGAUAGAGAGGUAAAUAGAUAGGAUAGGUUGGUAGAUGAUAGAAGGAUUAGAUGGAAGGUAGAUAGAUAAGACAAUUGUGUGAUAGAUAGGUAGAAUAGGUAGGUGAUAGAUUAUAGAUAAUUGGGAGGUAGGUAUGAUAGAUAGGGGAGAGAGAUAAAUAGGUAGAUAGAUAGGAUAGGUAGGUAGUAGAUAGAUUAGAUGGGAGGUAGAUAGAUAGAUAGACAGAUUGAUAGAUAGAAUAGUUGGGAAGUAGAUAAAUAAAUAAAAUAUAAUAAAUGGUGUGGCUUCUGUCUGUCCAAGGCAACUCUUCCCUGGACUCCAUGUUGAGUGUAUCUUUAUAGUGACCACUGUCUUGUGGAGUUGCUUUAUGUGGGAUUUCUCCCAGAGUUGCCAAUGGCACAGGAAGGAUCUGAACCCAAGGCACCGCCAAUGCACUGUGACUCUCUGAGGCCUGACGCUGGCCAAGGCAUUCAACCCCUGGCUUUUUAUCUGCACUGGGCUGGCAUGGACAGGAGAGGGAUGUGGGGAGCUGUGGCUCUGAAGGACAAACCCCUGGAGCAGGCAAUGUAUGGGCCCAGGAGAGAGCAAAACUGCAAGGCCUGCGGGAUGCAGCUGGGCUCUCCUUGCUUGCCAGGCAUGGCAUCCAAAUGGUGUUGUUGUUGUUGUUGUUGGUAGAUUUGCAUGAAGCCCAAAGGAGUGGAUCAACGACAAAUGGGAUAGGAAAGGAUUAUUAUUAUUAGUAUCUGUAUCCUGCCUCAAGCUACAGGGAGAGGCGGACAAUACAUUUAUUAUUAUUAUUAUUAUUAUUAUUAUUAUUAUUAUUAUUAUUAUUAUUAUUAUUAUUACUAUUAUUUUAUUAUGACACAGCAAACAAGAUAGAUAUGCUGGAUUUCAUAUCACAAAAUCACAAGUCGAACACUUCCCAAAUGUCUAGGACUGUGUGAUGUCCAAAUGAAUAGUCACAGAAGCGGCAGAAAUAUACAAUGCCAGAAAACUGCACUAUUAUUAUUAUUAUUAUUAUUAUUAUUAUUGACACAACGAUGUUGUAUGACACAGCAAACAAGAUAGACAUGCUGGAUUUCGUUUCACAAAACCACAAGUCGAACACUUCCCAAGUGUCUAGGACUGUGUGAUGUAUUUUCGGAUGAUGCGUGCAGAUCCCAGCAGGGUGGCCUUUUGCAGUUGGCAGAUCGUAAUUUUUAUUUUUAUUAUUAUUAUUAUUAUUAUCUUAACUCUUGUUUUAAUCAUAUUGUACCUCACCUCAAGCUGCAGGGAGAGGUGGGUAAUAAAUUCAUGAUGAUGAUGAUGAUGAUUAUUAUUAUUGACACAACAACAUAGUAUGACACAGCGAACAAGAUAGAUAUGCUGGAUUUUGUGUCACAAAAUCACAAGUCGAACACUUCCCAAGCGCUUAGGACUGUUUGAUGUAUUUUCAGAUGAUGCACACAGAUCCCAUUAUUAUUAUUAUUAUUAUUAUUAUUAUUAUUAUUAUUAUUAUUAUUAUUAUUAUUAUUAUUAUUAGGCUGAUGGAGAGAGCGACUUUGGAUAGUUCGUUGGGAGAAAAGUGGGCCAUACUGUAGUUACUCUAAUCUAAUGCUUACCUAUUUUUUGGGGCUAAAUUACCUCACCAAAAUUAGGGUGUGCAUUAAAUUUGCAUGCUAUGGCAAUCUUAGUGGCGAGACACCAGCAUUCGUUGGCAGAGAAGGCUCAAAACCUUGUCAAACUACAUCCCCCCAGGACUCCAUGGCAUUGAACCAAGGCAAUGAAAGUGCAUUCAUUCUGCAGCAUAGUUUUCCUUUCCAUUGCUGGAAACUUUGGUGUUCCGAUGUUAUUGUUUUGAAAGGAGGAAUCCUAUGCAGGUGGUCACUGCAAUGCACAUCUUUUUUGGCCAGAGUGCAUGACAUUGAGCAGCAAAUACUUUUCUGUUUUGUGGGUUUUGAAUAUUGAUGUGCGCAUGGGAUUCAAUAGCGCAUUAGACUCAAGUCAAUACGAGCAUUGCAGGUAUGCUCCUCUUUCCUUGGGAACGCAUCUUCCUUAGAAACCGAGCCGACCUGCCUUGGGCUCCCCUCCGUUAAACUGCCUAUAAUUGGCUUCUGAAAAGGGGCUAGGCAGUGGCCGCCUCCAUCCGCGCAUCCACGGAUCUCUCCAUCUGGCUGCACGGAUGGCAGGACGCCACGGCCGGCUUCCUGGGCGCCCCUCCUGAUCCAACGUCCUCCUCUCCUCCGCGUUUACUCUGGGCAAAGGGCCCACACGCCCGGGGCCCCCUUCUCCUCCGCGGAUCCCGCAUCCGGGCCCGUGAAUCAUGCCUUAUAGCAGGGCUUUCUCCUGAAUAGCAGGGCAAGGCACGGGAUGCCAGCCAAACCCACCCACGGGGCUGGCGAGGAAGGAGAGCGGCUGGUGGCCAAGCCGGGAUGAGUCACGCACGGGGCAGAGCCUUUCCCCAAAACCCAAACGUUUGCAUUAAAGGCAGGAUCCCUUCCUUCCUUUCCUUCCUUCGUGCCCUUGCUUUGGCUCCUUUGCAUUUGGUGCCAGGCCCUUCCGCCAAAGCCUUGGCCUAAAUUUAGACCCUUCUAAAGGUCAGAGGGACCAUUCCGGCCCCCAGGCUUAAAGGACGAGGAGGUAACCCUAGCUAGCUCCUCCUGCUCACCUUUCACAGCCUUGGGAUGCAUUUAUUGGGAGGCAGAAGGAAGACCCUCAGGCUUCACCGUCCCUCUGAUGCAGAGUUGAAGUCCAAAACACCUGCCCUAGGCCUGCCCCCCCCAAACAAUGGCACCCCAUUUGCCCUCUUUCUCCAAGCCCGUAGCCAAGGGGGCGGUUUAGGAGUUCAAACCACCGCCCAAAUUUUUCAGGACAAAAAAAUAAAUAAAUCCUGGUUUACUCAUGAAUUUUAACUAGUGAAUCAGAUCCUGCUGCCAAGUCUAUGAGAAACAAAAAUUAGAGUUCACCCAGAACUGCAAGCAUGAUCUCAAGCAAAUUUGCAAUAGAGUAGAGUCUCACUUAUCCAACGUUCUGGAUUAUCCAACGCAUUUUUGUAGUCAAUGUUUUCAAUGCAUUGUGAUAUUUUGGUGCUAAAUUCGUAAACACAGUAAUUACUACAUCGCAUUAAUGUGUAAUGAACUACUUUUUCUGUCAAAUUUGUUGUAUAAUAUGAUGCUUUGGUGCUUAAUUUGUAAAAAUUUUAUUGUACUGUUUUGCAUGUAUGUAUUGUAUUAUGCUAAAUUGAUUUUUUUAACUGCCUAUGUUUUAUCUUUUGUACUAUAUAUGGCAUUGAAUUUUGCCAGAUUGUGAGCCGCCCUGAGUCCCUUCGGGUGAGAAGGGCGGCGUAGAAAUGAUGGAAAUAAAUAAAUAAAUAAAUAAAAUCAUAACCUAU
Molecule: long non-coding RNA, 5673 nt
Organism: Anolis carolinensis (green anole)
Lineage: Eukaryota; Metazoa; Chordata; Lepidosauria; Squamata; Anolidae
Exons: 2
Source: RefSeq, a predicted model, not a curated record